RNAcentral lists this ribosomal RNA (537 nucleotides) under uncultured bacterium. RNAcentral describes it as "partial 16S ribosomal RNA". It matches the Rfam family "Bacterial small subunit ribosomal RNA", at positions 355 to 901 of the family's 1533-position model. The record is from RNAcentral.
UGGGGAAUAUUGCACAAUGGGCGCAAGCCUGAUGCAGCAACGCCGCGUGAGGGAUGACGGCCUUCGGGUUGUAAACCUCUUUUAGCAGGGAAGAAGCGAAAGUGACGGUACCUGCAGAAAAAGCACCGGCUAACUACGUGCCAGCAGCCGCGGUAAUACGUAGGGUGCAAGCGUUGUCCGGAAUUAUUGGGCGUAAAGAGCUCGUAGGCGGUCUGUCGCGUCUGCUGUGAAAUCCCGAGGCUCAACCUCGGGCCUGCAGUGGGUACGGGCAGACUAGAGUGCGGUAGGGGAGAAUGGAACUCCUGGUGUAGCGGUGGAAUGCGCAGAUAUCAGGAAGAACACCGAUGGCGAAGGCAGUUCUCUGGGCCGUAACUGACGCUGAGGAGCGAAAGCGUGGGGAGCGAACAGGAUUAGAUACCCUGGUAGUCCACGCCGUAAACGUUGGGCGCUAGAUGUGGGGCACCAUUCCACGGUUUCCGUGUCGCAGCUAACGCAUUAAGCGCCCCGCCUGGGGAGUACGGCCGCAAGGCUAAAACU